CGAACUCUGGUAUUGAUUGGUGCUUGCAUCAUGAUUUACAUUUGAGUGAGUGGCGAACUGGUGAGUAACACGUGGGAAACCUGCCCAGAAGCGGGGGAUAACACCUGGAAACAGAUGCUAAUACCGCAUAACAACUUGGACCGCAUGGUCCGAGUUUGAAAGAUGGCUUCGGCUAUCACUUUUGGAUGGUCCCGCGGCGUAUUAGCUAGAUGGUGGGGUAACGGCUCACCAUGGCAAUGAUACGUAGCCGACCUGAGAGGGUAAUCGGCCACAUUGGGACUGAGACACGGCCCAAACUCCUACGGGAGGCAGCAGUAGGGAAUCUUCCACAAUGGACGAAAGUCUGAUGGAGCAACGCCGCGUGAGUGAAGAAGGGUUUCGGCUCGUAAAACUCUGUUGUUAAAGAAGAACAUAUCUGAGAGUAACUGUUCAGGUAUUGACGGUAUUUAACCAGAAAGCCACGGCUAACUACGUGCCAGCAGCCGCGGUAAUACGUAGGUGGCAAGCGUUGUCCGGAUUUAUUGGGCGUAAAGCGAGCGCAGGCGGUUUUUUAAGUCUGAUGUGAAAGCCUUCGGCUCAACCGAAGAAGUGCAUCGGAAACUGGGAAACUUGAGUGCAGAAGAGGACAGUGGAACUCCAUGUGUAGCGGUGAAAUGCGUAGAUAUAUGGAAGAACACCAGUGGCGAAGGCGGCUGUCUGGUCUGUAACUGACGCUGAGGCUCGAAAGUAUGGGUAGCAAACAGGAUUAGAUACCCUGGUAGUCCAUACCGUAAACGAUGAAUGCUAAGUGUUGGAGGGUUUCCGCCCUUCAGUGCUGCAGCUAACGCAUUAAGCAUUCCGCCUGGGGAGUACGGCCGCAAGGCUGAAACUCAAAGGAAUUGACGGGGGCCCGCACAAGCGGUGGAGCAUGUGGUUUAAUUCGAAGCUACGCGAAGAACCUUACCAGGUCUUGACAUACUAUGCAAAUCUAAGAGAUUAGACGUUCCCUUCGGGGACAUGGAUACAGGUGGUGCAUGGUUGUCGUCAGCUCGUGUCGUGAGAUGUUGGGUUAAGUCCCGCAACGAGCGCAACCCUUAUUAUCAGUUGCCAGCAUUAAGUUGGGCACUCUGGUGAGACUGCCGGUGACAAACCGGAGGAAGGUGGGGAUGACGUCAAAUCAUCAUGCCCCUUAUGACCUGGGCUACACACGUGCUACAAUGGAUGGUACAACGAGUUGCGAACUCGCGAGAGUAAGCUAAUCUCUUAAAGCCAUUCUCAGUUCGGAUUGUAGGCUGCAACUCGCCUACAUGAAGUCGGAAUCGCUAGUAAUCGCGGAUCAGCAUGCCGCGGUGAAUACGUUCCCGGGCCUUGUACACACCGCCCGUCACACCAUGAGAGUUUGUAACACCCAAAGUCGGUGGGGUAACCUUUUAGGAACCAGCCGCCUA
Molecule: ribosomal RNA, 1427 nt
Filed under: Lactiplantibacillus pentosus
Lineage: Bacteria; Bacillati; Bacillota; Bacilli; Lactobacillales; Lactobacillaceae
Description: bacterial SSU rRNA
Rfam family: Bacterial small subunit ribosomal RNA
Source: RNAcentral